UACGGGGGGGGCAAGCGUUGUUCGGAAUUACUGGGCGUAAAGGGCUCGUAGGCGGCCAACUAAGUCGGAUGUGAAAUCCCCAGGCUUAACCUGGGAACUGCAUCCGAUACUGGAUGGCUUGAAACCGGGAGAGGGAUGCAGAAUUCCAGGUGUAGCGGUGAAAUGCGUAGAUAUCUGGAGGAAUACCGGUGGCGAAAGCGAUCUGCUGGACCUCUUCUGACGCUGAGGCGCGAAAGCCAGGGGAGCAAACGGG
RNAcentral lists this ribosomal RNA (253 nucleotides) under uncultured bacterium. RNAcentral's name for it is "partial 16S ribosomal RNA". It matches the Rfam family "Bacterial small subunit ribosomal RNA", at positions 524 to 776 of the family's 1533-position model. The record is from RNAcentral.